GUGGGGAAUAUUGGACAAUGGGCGAAAGCCUGAUCCAGCCAUGCCGCGUGUGUGAAGAAGGUCUUCGGAUUGUAAAGCACUUUAAGUUGGGAGGAAGGGCAGUAAGUUAAUACCUUGCUGUUUUGACGUUACCGACAGAAUAAGCACCGGCUAACUUCGUGCCAGCAGCCGCGGUAAUACGAAGGGUGCAAGCGUUAAUCGGAAUUACUGGGCAUAAAGCGCGCGUAGGUGGUUCAGCAAGUUGAAGGUGAAAUCCCCGGGCUCAACCUGGGAACUGCCUCCAAAACUACUGAGCUAGAGUACGGUAGAGGGUAGUGGAAUUUCCUGUGUAGCGGUGAAAUGCGUAGAUAUAGGAAGGAACACCAGUGGCGAAGGCGACUACCUGGACUGAUACUGACACUGAGGUGCGAAAGCGUGGGGAGCAAACAGGAUUAGAAACCCUGGUAGUCC
RNAcentral lists this ribosomal RNA (450 nucleotides) under uncultured bacterium. Its description in RNAcentral is "bacterial SSU rRNA". It matches the Rfam family "Bacterial small subunit ribosomal RNA", at positions 354 to 796 of the family's 1533-position model. The record is from RNAcentral.